UGGACACAGAAGAGCCGUCACGUACCUGUCACCAGGACUGCCUUUUGAUCCACAGGUAACAACUCCUCACCAGCUGAGUGCAUACACAUGAAGCAACACGACAGGGAGAAGAGAACCAAGCUCCAGAACAAGGGCAGGAUGAGCAGGACUACGGACCUUCUGGGAAUGGCAUCCAGUUCCUCUCAUCUCCCAGAAAAUUUGGGCCCAGAGAGAACAAAAUAUUUUUAGCACAGUACAAUCAGCACAGAUUAGAAUAAGAGUGUCCCCUCUCCAUCCCUGAAGCCGUAUUUUCUUCAUCUUUCCAAAAACGCAUUUUUGGGUGCCAUGCACAGCCUGACUAGGGGAGAGCCGACACCAGCCCUCUCCUGCCAGUCGACACUAUUUGCAGACUGUGGGGGAGGAGAACAAGACGUCAACAAGAAGCUAAGACCUCUGUGGGUCAACAACAUGCACGGGCUGACUGGGGGAGAGCCAGAUGCCAGCCCCUUCGGGCAUGAGGGCAGAGAGACUAGAAGAGCCCACACGUCCCACCUUCCCAUAAGUGAUCGGCUGAUCUGGAGAAACACAGGCCAUGAUGAUAGCUAAUAAUGUAAAAUACAACUGAAUGCUUGUAGUGUUUGUGUUUCUCUGACUCUGCAGGUCUAAAGCCAGUAGUCUGAUCAUCUAUUCAGUAUUGAUAACAAUACUCAGUGUAGCAUAUACGGGCUCUCCUUCUGAAGAUGGUGUCCAUUGUUAAUUCCCUAUUACCUUGCUUCAAAAUCCUGUAUCGUUCUCAUUGUUUUGUUUGGUUGAGUUUUAUUCUGCUUUAUCUUGCGUGCUUUUUCCGUAUCUGAUGGCAUGGGCAGCUAUUUCAAAGAUAACAAGAUAGAUCAUGGUAGCCAUCUUCUACUUACUACUGUCUUGUUUGGAAGUCCUGUAUUGCAUUCAUUGUUUUGUUUUUAUUGGUUCUAUUCUGUUCUAUUUUGUUUGAUUUUACUGUGUCUGAAGGUACAGGCAGCUAUUUUGAAGAGAACGGGAGGCAUUAUGGUAGCCAUUGUUGAUUUCCUAUUACCUUGUUUGGAAAUCCUGUGUCACUUGCAUUGCCUUGUUUGGAUUGGCUUUAUUCUGUUUUAUUUUACUUUGUUGUAUUCUAUCUAAAAUAAAAUUUAAAAAAAACAA
Molecule: long non-coding RNA, 1158 nt
Organism: Cavia porcellus (domestic guinea pig)
Lineage: Eukaryota; Metazoa; Chordata; Mammalia; Rodentia; Caviidae
Exons: 2
Source: RefSeq, a predicted model, not a curated record